CAUACAGAAGCUUUAUUCAACUUAUGCAUACAUCUUGAUAAAUUCUUAUAAAUAAGAUAAGCACCAUCCACAUCAAGAAACAGAACAUUAUAGGUGCUGGCCUGGUAGCAUAUUGGUUAAUUUCACUCGCUCUGCUUUGGCGGCCUAGGGUUCACUGGUUUGGAUCCCGGGCACAGACCUAUGCACCUCUUAUGAAGCCAUGCUGUGGCAGGCAUCCCACAUAUAAAAUAGAGGAAGAUGGGCACACAUGUUAGCUCAGGCCCAAUCUUCCUCAAAAAAAAAAAAAAAGAAAGAAAUAGAACAUUACAGAUGUUGAAUUAUAAUGCUGUACACCUAAAACUUACAUAAUAAAAAAAAGAAAAAAGAACAGAACAUUGCUAUCACUACAGAAGCCCCCCACCCCCAUGGUAUUUUUCUGAUUACAACCUCUUCUCUCUUUCCAGAGUUAAUCACUAUUCUGAUCUUCUGACUUUUAUGGAAAUCAAUUCCUUGAUUUUCUUUAUAUCUCUAAGAGUCUGAACAGAACUGUUGAAUUUUGCCCUUUAUUGUAUUUUAUAUAAGCAGAAGCAUACUAUUUCUCUUCUUUUUUAUUUUUUAUUUUAUUUAUUUUCCUUGAGGAAGAUCAGCCCUGAGCUAACAUCUGCGACCAAGCCUCCUCUUUUUGCUGAGGAAGACUGGCCCUGAGCUAACAUCCAUGCCCAUCUUCCUCUACUUUAUAUGUGGGACACUGUUCUAUGAAUGUCUAUUAGUUCAAGUUUUGUUAGUUAAUAUGUUGUUCAGAUCUUCUAUAUCUAUUUGUCCUGACAUUUUAAUUUGUUUGUUGCAUCAAUUACUGAAAGAGUUUUGUUAUUUUCACAAUAUGAUUUAUGGAUUUUUUUCUUCUGUGGUUCUUUUUUCUUCUUUAUGUAUUUUUACACUGUGGUAUUAGGUGUACACAAAAUGUAAAAUGGUUACCUUACUUUGAAAUUAAAUGUUUAUCCUUAUGAAGUGGUCCCCUUUAUCUCUAGUAAUGCUUUUUAUCUCAAAGUCUGCCUUCUUUGAUAUUAACAGGCUACCCCAGCUUCCUUGUGGUUAACACACUUGGAUGCAUAUGAAUGUAUUUAUCUUCUUAUUUAUCCUUCUUGGGAUUUACUGAGCCACUUAAGUCUGUAGAUUGGUGACUUCAUUAGUUCUGGAUAAUUCUCAGCCAUUAUCUCUUCAAAUAUUGCCUAUUUCUUCUCUCUUCUCCUAAAACUAAUCAAAUACAUUUUAGACUUCACCUCUCUUAAGCUCUUUUCUGUAUUUUUCACAUUUUUUUUCACUCUGUACUGAAAUUCUGGGUAAUUACUUCAAUCUUCCCAUUAACUAAUUCUUCUUUGUGUCAUCUUUUUCUUAACACAUCUAUUGAGCUUUUAAUUCCAGCUAUUACAUUUUUCACUUUGAGACAUGCUGUUUGGUUCUUUUUCAAAACUGCAUGGUCACUCCUUUAGUUUCCUGCUGCCUGCAAAUAUUUCCAAGCUUGUCAUUUAUUCCUUUAAACCCACUGCAGAUAUUUGUUUUAUAAUCUGCAUCUGUUUAUUUGUGGGACUGUUUCUGCUGUCUCUUGUUUCUGCUGGUUAUCAUUCAUGUUUCCUUGUUAUCCUGUUCUUAAUUGAUGGAGUGCUGGUCAUUGUCUUUGAAAAACUUUGUGGGGAUUCUCCAGUGCCUAUGCUGAUGGUGGCCUCCUCCUGAAGAGAUUUGCCAUCCACAUCCGCCAAUACGUGAUUUGCUUUUUCUGCUUGGAUGCCUGAAGAAUUCUUCUAUCCUUGAGAUUCAGUCAUAUUGGAUUUGAGCAUUCUCUAUCAGACUUAACUAGAAAAAACAGGUUCUUUUUAAUUUGGAGUUACAGUUUUUUUCUUUAUGGGAUAUUCUUCUUGAGAUAUUUUUUUACUUUUAUUUUUUUUGAGGAAGAUUAGCCCUGAGCUAAUGUCUGCCACCAAUCCUGCUCCCUUUUUUUUUGCUUAUGAAGGUUGGCCCUGAGCUAACAUCCGUGCCCAUCUUCCUCUACUUUAUAUGUGGGACACCUGCCACAGCAUGGCUUGAUAAGCAUGUGUAUAUGUCCACGCCCAGGAUCCAAACCAGCAAAUCCUGGGCCGCCGAAGCCAAGUGCACAAAUUUAACCAUUAUGCCACCAGUCUGACCCCCUUCUUGAGUUAUAUUUUUAAAUACAUCUUCUCUACCAUCGUAUGGGGUGUCUAUUUCAUAGAGAAAACUUAUUCUUAUUGGAUUAUCUUAGUCUGUGUUCUGGAUCUCUUAGCUUCAUUUAUUGCUUGAUUCUCUGUAUUUUUUAUGUGAUCGCUCUGAUUAGGCAAAGCUCCUCUACCUCAGUAAUUCAAUUCUCAGCAGUGUCUAUUCAGUAAAUUGUUUUUUCUAAUUUUAUAAACUUUUUUUCUGUAAUUACAUUGUAUUGGACCUUGUGAUGUUUUCCUUAGGUCAAUAUUCCCCCUUUUUAUUCUAUUCUUGAGCUGUUUUCCCCUAAGGUGGCUCCGUGCCUUUUGCAUGCAAUAGUCCCUCUUACCCCAUAGGAUAUUUGCAGUUCCCCAAGCUAUUGCUAAGGCUUGAGUGCCUCUGUCUCACCUGAUAUAAUGUGGUGACUUCUUGACUUUUCCCCCCAGUGCAUUACACCUGUUUAUUCAACCUUUGGACCAUUUCCCUCAAUUCAGAAUGUUGCCAUGGAACCUUUGUAUCCAUCAGAGAGAGAGACGCUCAUUGUUCAUUUCUCUGUCUCACUCCCCCACCCCCAAUGACAGUGUGAUAUUGUGAUUUAU
Long non-coding RNA from Equus caballus (horse), 2786 nucleotides. The record is from Ensembl. Lineage: Eukaryota; Metazoa; Chordata; Mammalia; Perissodactyla; Equidae.